RNAcentral lists this ribosomal RNA (496 nucleotides) under Ceracris kiangsu (yellow-spined bamboo locust). RNAcentral's name for it is "partial 16S ribosomal RNA". It matches the Rfam family "Archaeal large subunit ribosomal RNA", at positions 1888 to 2633 of the family's 2987-position model. Lineage: Eukaryota; Metazoa; Arthropoda; Insecta; Orthoptera; Acrididae. The record is from RNAcentral.
UCGCCUGUUUUACAAAAACAUGUCCUCUUGAUUAUAUUUUGAGGUCUGGCCUGCUCACUGAUAAAUUUAAAGAGCCGCGGUAUUUUGACCGUGCAAAGGUAGCAUAAUCAUUAGUCUUUUAAUUAAGGGCUGGAAUGAAUGGCUUGACGAGAAAUUAACUGUCUCUUAAUAAUUUAUAAAAUUUAACUUUUGAGUCAAAAGGCUUAAAUUUUUCUUUAGGACGAGAAGACCCUAUAGAGCUUAACAUAUAAUUUAUAUUUAUACAUUAGAUGGUUUUUUAUAUAUUUAAUGAUAAUGUUUUGUUGGGGUGACAUGAAGAAUCAAUAAACUCUUCAUUAUAAAAUCAUUAAUUUAUGUUUAUUCUUGAUCCAUAAUUUAUGAUCAUAAGAUUAAGUUACCUUAGGGAUAACAGCGUAAUUGUUUUUGAGAGCUCAAAUCAACAAAGCAGAUUGCGACCUCGAUGUUGGAUUAAGAAAAAUUUUGGGUGCAGUAGCUC